Molecule: long non-coding RNA, 421 nt
Organism: Rhagoletis pomonella (apple maggot)
Lineage: Eukaryota; Metazoa; Arthropoda; Insecta; Diptera; Tephritidae
Exons: 3
Source: RefSeq, a predicted model, not a curated record
AAUAAAUAGUUCCUGAUAACUUUGUGAAUCCAAUUGUUCCUAAUUGCCGGCAGAUUUUUGUACCCAAAGCCUUUUGGAUCCAAUUGUCAGAUUAAUUGUGCUUGGAUAACUUGGAUAAAAACAAUAAAGAAAAGCGAUUGCCUUGCGCCACGUCCUGUAAAUCCUGGAAAUAUUACUACCGCUUGAAGCGUCACUAUGCAUAUGUAGCUCGGAAUACAUAUAAGAUAUUUCAUAUGCUUCCAGAUGCACCUAUGUACGUCAAAUGGAAUCUGCUUAGAAGUCACUCAAAACAUUAUGGUGGCUUUUUGUUCCUGAAGUUUGCAACAAUACAAUAUUUGUUUAAUGCGUAUAUACAGUAUAUUUUGCUUUGCUGCCUCUAUGCUUAAGUGCACAUUUAAGAUACCUACCCCAAAAUGCGCAU